AAAAGAAACCAACAGGGAUUGCCCUAGUAACGGCGAGUGAAGCGGCAACAGCUCAAAUUUGAAAGCUGGCUCCGGCCCGCAUUGUAAUUUGCAGAGGAUGCUUUUGGUGAGGUGCCUUCCGAGUUCCCUGGAACGGGACGCCAUAGAGGGUGAGAGCCCCGUAUGGAUGGACACCAAACCUGUGUAAAGCUCCUUCAACGAGUCGAGUAGUUUGGGAAUGCUGCUCAAAAUGGGAGGUAAAUCUCUUCUAAAGCUAAAUACCGGCCAGAGACCGAUAGCGCACAAGUAGAGUGAUCGAAAGAUGAAAAGCACCUUGAAAAGGGGGUUAAACAGUACGUGAAAUUGUUAAAAGGGAAGCGCUUGUGACCAGACUUGCGCCGGGCAGCUCAUCAGGGGUUCUCCCCUGUGCACUCUGCCCGGCUCAGGCCAGCAUCGGUUCUCGUGGGAGGAUAAGAACAGUAGGAAUGUGGCCCCCUCUCGGGGGGGUGUUAUAGCCUAUUGUACGAUACUCUCGUGGGGACCGAGGUUCGCGCUCCGCAAGGAUGCUGGCGUAAUGGUCAUCAGCGACCC
This 570-nucleotide ribosomal RNA is filed under the name Cytospora sacculus. Its description in RNAcentral is "eukaryotic LSU rRNA". It matches the Rfam family "Eukaryotic large subunit ribosomal RNA", at positions 57 to 650 of the family's 3401-position model. Lineage: Eukaryota; Fungi; Ascomycota; Sordariomycetes; Diaporthales; Cytosporaceae. The record is from RNAcentral.